Molecule: ribosomal RNA, 829 nt
Filed under: Pseudoclavibacter sp.
Lineage: Bacteria; Bacillati; Actinomycetota; Actinomycetes; Micrococcales; Microbacteriaceae
Description: bacterial SSU rRNA
Rfam family: Bacterial small subunit ribosomal RNA
Source: RNAcentral
GCAAGUCGAACGAUGAAGCCCAGCUUGCUGGGUGGAUUAGUGGCGAACGGGUGAGUAACACGUGAGCAACGUGCCCAUAACUCUGGGAUAACCUCCGGAAACGGUGGCUAAUACUGGAUAUCUAACACGAUCGCAUGGUCUGUGUUUGGAAAGAUUUUUUGGUUAUGGAUCGGCUCACGGCCUAUCAGCUUGUUGGUGAGGUAAUGGCUCACCAAGGCGACGACGGGUAGCCGGCCUGAGAGGGUGACCGGCCACACUGGGACUGAGACACGGCCCAGACUCCUACGGGAGGCAGCAGUGGGGAAUAUUGCACAAUGGGCGAAAGCCUGAUGCAGCAACGCCGCGUGAGGGAUGACGGCCUUCGGGUUGUAAACCUCUUUUAGUAGGGAAGAAGCGAAAGUGACGGUACCUGCAGAAAAAGCACCGGCUAACUACGUGCCAGCAGCCGCGGUAAUACGUAGGGUGCAAGCGUUGUCCGGAAUUAUUGGGCGUAAAGAGCUCGUAGGCGGUUUGUCGCGUCUGCUGUGAAAUCCCGAGGCUCAACCUCGGGUCUGCAGUGGGUACGGGCAGACUAGAGUGUGGUAGGGGAGAUUGGAAUUCCUGGUGUAGCGGUGGAAUGCGCAGAUAUCAGGAGGAACACCGAUGGCGAAGGCAGAUCUCUGGGCCAUUACUGACGCUGAGGAGCGAAAGCAUGGGGAGCGAACAGGAUUAGAUACCCUGGUAGUCCAUGCCGUAAACGUUGGGCGCUAGAUGUGGGGACCAUUCCACGGUUUCCGUGUCGUANCUAACGCAUUAAGCGCCCCGCCUGGGGAGUACGGCCGCAAGGCUA